This 734-nucleotide ribosomal RNA is filed under the name Staphylococcus epidermidis. RNAcentral describes it as "bacterial LSU rRNA". It matches the Rfam family "Bacterial large subunit ribosomal RNA", at positions 157 to 888 of the family's 2925-position model. The record is from RNAcentral. Lineage: Bacteria; Bacillati; Bacillota; Bacilli; Caryophanales; Staphylococcaceae.
UGUGAAUUCAUAGCAUGUCAGAAGGCAGACCCGGAGAACUGAAACAUCUUAGUACCCGGAGGAAGAGAAAGAAAAAUCGAUUCCCUGAGUAGCGGCGAGCGAAACGGGAAGAGCCCAAACCAACAAGCUUGCUUGUUGGGGUUGUAGGACACUCUAUACGGAGUUACAAAAGAACAUGUUAGACGAAUCAUCUGGAAAGAUGAAUCAAAGAAGGUAAUAAUCCUGUAGUCGAAAACAUAUUCUCUCUUGAGUGGAUCCUGAGUACGACGGAGCACGUGAAAUUCCGUCGGAAUCUGGGAGGACCAUCUCCUAAGGCUAAAUACUCUCUAGUGACCGAUAGUGAACCAGUACCGUGAGGGAAAGGUGAAAAGUACCCCGGAAGGGGAGUGAAAGAGAACUUGAAACCGUGUGCUUACAAGUAGUCAAAGCCCGUUAAUGGGUGAUGGCGUGCCUUUUGUAGAAUGAACCGGCGAGUUACGAUCUGAUGCAAGGUUAAGCAGCAAAUGUGGAGCCGCAGCGAAAGCGAGUCUGAAUAGGGCGUUGAGUAUUUGGUCGUAGACCCGAAACCAGGUGAUCUACCCUUGGUCAGGUUGAAGUUCAGGUAACACUGAAUGGAGGACCGAACCGACUUACGUUGAAAAGUGAGCGGAUGAACUGAGGGUAGCGGAGAAAUUCCAAUCGAACUUGGAGAUAGCUGGUUCUCUCCGAAAUAGCUUUAGGGCUAGCCUCAAGUG